This 1235-nucleotide ribosomal RNA is filed under the name Pediococcus pentosaceus. RNAcentral's name for it is "partial 16S ribosomal RNA". It matches the Rfam family "Bacterial small subunit ribosomal RNA". Lineage: Bacteria; Bacillati; Bacillota; Bacilli; Lactobacillales; Lactobacillaceae. The record is from RNAcentral.
AUGCAUAUACAUGCAGUCGAACGAACUUCCGUAUAAUUGAUUAUGACAGUACUUGUACUGAUUGAGAUUUUAACACGAAGUGAGUGGCGAACGGGUGAGUAACACGUGGGUAACCUGCCCAGAAGUAGGGGAUAACACCUGGAAACAGAUGCUAAUACCGUAUAACAGAGAAAACCGCAUGGUUUUCUUUUAAAAGAUGGCUCUGCUAUCACUUCUGGAUGGACCCGCGGCGUAUUAGCUAGUUGGUGAGGUAAAGGCUCACCAAGGCAGUGAUACGUAGCCGACCUGAGAGGGUAAUCGGCCACAUUGGGACUGAGACACGGCCCAGACUCCUACGGGAGGCAGCAGUAGGGAAUCUUCCACAAUGGACGCAAGUCUGAUGGAGCAACGCCGCGUGAGUGAAGAAGGGUUUCGGCUCGUAAAGCUCUGUUGUUAAAGAAGAACGUGGGUAAGAGUAACUGUUUACCCAGUGACGGUAUUUAACCAGAAAGCCACGGCUAACUACGUGCCAGCAGCCGCGGUAAUACGUAGGUGGCAAGCGUUAUCCGGAUUUAUUGGGCGUAAAGCGAGCGCAGGCGCGAUGAUUACUAAGUGUUGGAGGGUUUCCGCCCUUCAGUGCUGCAGCUAACGCAUUAAGUAAUCCGCCUGGGGAGUACGACCGCAAGGUUGAAACUCAAAAGAAUUGACGGGGGCCCGCACAAGCGGUGGAGCAUGUGGUUUAAUUCGAAGCUACGCGAAGAACCUUACCAGGUCUUGACAUCUUCUGACAGUCUAAGAGAUUAGAGGUUCCCUUCGGGGACAGAAUGACAGGUGGUGCAUGGUUGUCGUCAGCUCGUGUCGUGAGAUGUUGGGUUAAGUCCCGCAACGAGCGCAACCCUUAUUACUAGUUGCCAGCAUUAAGUUGGGCACUCUAGUGAGACUGCCGGUGACAAACCGGAGGAAGGUGGGGACGACGUCAAAUCAUCAUGCCCCUUAUGACCUGGGCUACACACGUGCUACAAUGGAUGGUACAACGAGUCGCGAGACCGCGAGGUUAAGCUAAUCUCUUAAAACCAUUCUCAGUUCGGACUGUAGGCUGCAACUCGCCUACACGAAGUCGGAAUCGCUAGUAAUCGCGGAUCAGCAUGCCGCGGUGAAUACGUUCCCGGGCCUUGUACACACCGCCCGUCACACCAUGAGAGUUUGUAAUACCCAAAGCCGGUGGGGUAACCUUUUAGGAGCUAGCCGUCCUAGAU